CUCAGCCACCUGAGGAACCUCCUUUGCCAGACGAGGAUGAGGAAUUAUCUAGUGAAGAAUCAGAAUAUGAAAGCACUGAUGAUGAGGACCGACAGAGAAUGAACAAAUUAAUGGAACUAGCAAAUCUUCAGCCCAAAAGACCUAAAACAAUAAAGCAGCGCCAUGUGAGAAAAAAGAGAAAAAUAAAGGAUAUGUUGAAUACACCUUUGUGUCCUUCACACAGUUUACAUCCAGUGCUGUUACCUUCAGAUGUAUUUGACCAACCACAACCUGUAGGUAAUAAAAGAAUUGAAUUCCAUAUAUCUACCGACAUGCCAGCUGCAUUUAAGAAAGAUUUAGAAAAGGAACAAAAUUGUGAGGAAAAAAAUCAUGAUUUACCUGCUACUGAAGUUGAUGCAUCCAAUAUAGGAUUUGGAAAAAUCUUCCCCAAACCUAAUUUGGACAUCACAGAGGAGAUUAAAGAAGACUCUGAUGAAAUGCCUUCAGAAUGUAUUUCUAGAAGGGAAUUGGAAAAGGGCAGAAUUUCUAGAGAAGGUAAUGUCACGAAAUAAACUAAGCACAUAUUCCAUUUUAUAUAUCUUUGACUCUAUAGAAACAAAACAAAUCUGUCAUGCCAUUUACCUUAAUUUAAGGCACAUACUUUAAAACAUCUCUCCGAUUAAUGUUUGUAAUCACUUCUUCUGUUUUUUUUAAAUACUCAUACUUUAUAGUGAAGGGAACGUUCCUUUCCAUACAGUGUUUCCAGUCUAUAUUUAGGAAAAAAUUUUGUUUUCAUUCCUAAAACUUUCAUGUGGCAUUUAAAAUAAGUCAGUGUGUCCCACAAGUCUGGAGUUAUAUUUUCCAAAUGCAGCUGAUAGACUGUCACAAAUACUGUGUCUGAGAUACAUACAAAGCGAUUUAAAAAAAAAUGGUGAUUAGAAAUACAUGAUUUUAGGAUUUAAUAUCCUAACAUGAUAAUUUUCUACUUCUCAAAGACUUUUACUGUUUUGGUACAUUGUCAGAAAAUAUUUAGAGGCUUUAGAUUGAUGUGUAGCACAUAAUUUUUCCUACGGUAAUGGGAAAUAGACUUCUAGCUAGGAUUUUUACACAAAACAUCUAUCCGAUUUUCUAGAACAGAUUACUGACAUUAAAUGAGAGGAGCUAUACAAGGGUUCUUAGGCCAUGGUUUGUCUGAGAUGCCUGAUACUGUGUUUACUUCAUUCUUGCAUUUAAAUAUGGAGGUGGCUGAUGGUUUGGGAAAUUCACUUUAAGCAAAAUAACUACCCAAAUCAAUUAACAUAUAUACUUUGCUCUUUUUUAUAACAUGACUCAUCUUAACGGACCUUUAAUAGUAGAUAUUUUAUUGGACAAAUUGUAGUUACUCUAGAAGUCUGAAAUUUUUAAAACAAAAGUUAUAUAUAUAUAUAAAGUUUUUUAUAUAAUCAAUUCAGAUUUUCAGUGAGUAUAUUUAAACCCAUUUGUAAUAUUGUUACUAAUUUUGUUACUAAUUUUAUGUAAUAUUGUUACUAAUUAGUUCAUAUGAAAAUGAACUAAUUUUCAUUUUAUGUUAAAGUGAAAAUUUUAACAUUUUCAUAAAGCUUAUUUUGUCUAUUUAACAAUUAGGUUUCAAAAUUGUAAUUAUCUUUAAAAACUUGCUUAAAAUAUUUUAAUUUUAUAUCUUUGUUUUUUGUUUUUUAAUAAGAAAUGGAAACACUUUCAGUUUUCAGAAGUUAUGAACCGGGUGAACCAAACUGUAGAAUUUAUGUAAAGAAUUUAGCUAAACAUGUUCAAGAAAAGGUAGGUAUAAAUUGAUUUUUUUUCAUGUAAAUGAAAAUAAUUUGAAGGUUUUAUAGUUGAUGUGUUAAAGUCUGUUUGAAACUACCUUUAAGAAUGUGGUUUUCUUACUGUGCUUCAGGGCAUGACAAAUUAUUGUUUAGUAUUUUCAGGUUAAUUUUUUAUUAAAAUAAUACUCUCAUAGCUUGGGUUCUCUGGCAGUAAAUACUGAGACAGAGUUUGGGGUAUGUAUUAAUUUCCUAGGGCUAAGUGGCUGAAACAACAGAGAUGUGUUGUCUCACAGUUCUGGAGGCAAACUGAAGUCAAAAGUGUGGCAGGAUUGGUUCAUUCUGAGGGCUUUGAGUGAAGGAUCUGUUCUGUGCCUCUCCCAUAGCUUCUGCUGGUAUGCAGAAGCUGGCAAACUUUCACCUUCCUUGGCUUGUGGAAGCAUCACCGCAAUUUCUGCCUUUGUACAUAGCAUACUCCCUUUGUGAGUAUCUGUCCAAAUUUCCCCUUUUGAAAGGCCACCAGUCAUAUUACAUUAAAGCCUACCUUAGUCCAGUAUGACCUCUUCUACUGAUGCAUUGAUGUAUUUAUUUAUUUAUUAACAGUUUUUUUCCCCUGGCUUUGUUAUUUGUCUUUUUCUUAUUGAAAUCCUAGGACCUUAAAUAUAUUUUUGGAAGAUAUGUUGACUUUUCAUCAGAAACACAGCGGAUCAUGUUUGAUAUACGUUUGAUGAAAGAAGGUCGUAUGAAAGGACAAGCUUUCAUUGGACUUCCUAAUGAAAAAGCAGCAGCAAAAGCCUUAAAGGAAGCUAAUGGAUAUGUGCUUUUUGGAAAACCCAUGGUGGUUCAGUUUGCUCGAUCUGCUAGACCAAAACAAGAUCCUAAGGAAGGAAAAAGAAAGUGUUAAAAAUUAAUAAAGGUAAGUGUGAAUAAAACAUAAUAAAAAGACAAGACUAAUUAUUGAGAUAAAAUUAAGAAUAAAAGUUUGACAAGGUAGUAAUUCAGGUAUCUCUCUUUUUUUUUUUUUUUUUAAGGAAAUACCUAUCUGUGCAGUUAAGUCCCAUUAAACGUCAAAACUAUAACUACAGAUUAAAACCCAUUUAUAUGUGAAAAUUAAGUUUGGAGAAUGAAUCUUAUAAGGGGAGUGUGCCUGUUAACUCUUUUUUUAACUUUUUCUGCCUAUAGUAAAGCAAUGGUUCUUAAACCCUAAUAUGUAUCAUAUCACUUGGAGAGCCUAAUAAAACACAGAUUCGUAGGUUCCUUCCUUCCCUGAAAGAGUUGAUUUGGUAGGUCUGAUGUGGGGACCUAGGGAAACUGUUUAUACCAGUUUUCCUUUUAAUGAGGGGAUUUCCAGGAUGCCGGACAUUUAGUGCUGAAAUGGGGAAUGUGUCUGGUAAGCCAAGACAGGUUGGUCACCCUUGUUGGCACCUGAAAAUUUGCGAGAUUAAUGAGGUUUCAGAUAAUGAUGAGGCAUCUUAUCCAGAGACCACAACUUGAAAACUCCUGGGAUAAACACUUACAGAUACAUUUUCUAACUCUUAAAAUUAACCUAAAGUAAAUGUUAAAAUAAAAGUUAAAAAAAAAAAGUCAAACUAUCAUUAAAAAUAAUUCUGGCUGAGCACGGUGGCUCACCCCUGUAAUCUCAGCAAUUUGGGAAGUGGAGGUGGGCGGAUCACAAGGUCCAGAGAUCAAGACCAUCCUGGCCAACAUGGUGAAACCGACUGUCUACUAAAAAUACAAAAAUUAGCUGGGUGUGGUGGCGCAUACCUGUAGUCCCAGCUACGUGGGUGGCUGAGGCAGGAGAAUCACCUGAACCUGCGAGGUGGAGGUUGCAGUGAGCCGAGAUCAAGAUCACGCCACUGCACUCCACACUGGCAACAGAGCAAGACUCCAUCUCAAAAAAAAAAAAAAA
This 3669-nucleotide small RNA is filed under the name Pan troglodytes (chimpanzee). RNAcentral's name for it is "retained intron". Lineage: Eukaryota; Metazoa; Chordata; Mammalia; Primates; Hominidae. The record is from RNAcentral.